GAUGAACGCUGGCGGCGUGCUUAACACAUGCAAGUCGAACGGAAAGGCUCCUGCUUGCCGGGGUUCUCGAUUGGCGAACGGGUGAGUAACACGUGUGUGAUCUGCCCUUCACUUCGUGAUAUGCCUGGGAAACUGGGUCUAAUAUCGGAUAGGACGAUGUUUUGGAUGCCAUUGUGGAAAGUUGUUCGGUGUUGGAUGAGCUCGCGGCCUAUCAGCUUGUUGGUGGGGUAAUGGCCUACCAAGCCGUCGACGGGUAGCCGGCCUGAGAGGGUGUACGGCGACAAUGGGACUGCGAUACGGCCCAGACGCCAACGGGAGGCAGCAGUGGGGAAUAUUGCACAAUGGGCGCAAGCCUGAUGCAGCGACGCCGCGUGGGGGAUGACGGCCUUCGGGUUGUAAACUCCUUUCGCUAGGGACGAAGCGCAAGUGACGGUACCUGGAGAAGAAGCACCGGCUAACUACGUG
Molecule: ribosomal RNA, 465 nt
Filed under: uncultured bacterium
Lineage: Bacteria
Description: partial 16S ribosomal RNA
Rfam family: Bacterial small subunit ribosomal RNA
Source: RNAcentral